Long non-coding RNA from Homo sapiens (human), 368 nucleotides. RefSeq lists it as uncharacterized. The record is from RefSeq and is a predicted model, not a curated record. NCBI's taxonomy places the organism in Eukaryota, Metazoa, Chordata, Mammalia, Primates, Hominidae. The transcript is spliced from 3 exons.
CCCUCGGCCAAGGGGCCAGCCUCUGCAGACCUGCCUUUGUGAUGUCAUCUUCCCUAUGAUCAGACACUAAACUCAGGAAGGCACCAAGACUGGCGGCAUGGCUUUACACCCAAACCAUCUUGGUGCUUCAUGACAGCCAGAUCCCUCACCUCACUGCCCGAGAUGGCAGCCACAUGAGACAGGCCCUGGAAAUAACAGUGCCACUGGAGACCUUGAGGAAGGGGGUCCCUUUGAAAUUUGGUGACCAACAUCCAUCCAUCUCAGCUCUGUCCUGGAGGUCAGCUAAGAUCAUGGGCCACAUUCAGCAUUCUUCAACAAACACUCUGUUGCCUGUGCCCAGAGACCCAGAUGCUGGAACCUGACCGCCC